This 329-nucleotide unclassified non-coding RNA is filed under the name soil metagenome. RNAcentral's name for it is "partial contains 5.8S ribosomal RNA, internal transcribed spacer 2, and large subunit ribosomal RNA". The stretch from base 1 to 120 matches the Rfam family "5.8S ribosomal RNA", at positions 35 to 154 of the family's 154-position model. The record is from RNAcentral.
GAUGAAGAACGGAGCGAAAUGCGAUAAGUAAUGUGAAUUGCAGAAUUCAGUGAAUCAUCGAAUCUUUGAACGCACAUUGCGCCCCCUGGUAUUCCGGGGGGCAUGCCUGUCCGAGCGUCAUUACAACCCUCAAGCUCAGCUUGGUGUUGGGCCCCGCCGCCCCGGCGGGCCCUAAAGUCAGUGGCGGUGCCGUCCGGCUCCGAGCGUAGUAAUUCUUCUCGCUCUGGAGGUCCGGUCGUGUGCUCGCCAGCAACCCCCAAUUUUUUUCAGGUUGACCUCGGAUCAGGCAGGGAUACCCGCUGAACUUAAGCAUAUCAAUAAGCGGAGGA